Molecule: ribosomal RNA, 639 nt
Filed under: Hypoxylon officinalis
Lineage: Eukaryota; Fungi; Ascomycota; Sordariomycetes; Xylariales; Hypoxylaceae
Description: Hypoxylon sp. XVM-2021d partial large subunit ribosomal RNA
Rfam family: Eukaryotic large subunit ribosomal RNA
Source: RNAcentral
GGCGAGUGAAGCGGCAACAGCUCAAAUUUGAAAUCUGGCCCUCGUGGUCCGAGUUGUAAUUUGUAGAGGAUGCUUUUGGCGCGGCGCCUUCCGAGUUCCCUGGAACGGGACGCCAGAGAGGGUGAGAGCCCCGUACGGUUGGACGCCUAGCCUAUAUAUAGCUCCUUCGACGAGUCGAGUAGUUUGGGAAUGCUGCUCUAAAUGGGAGGUAAAUUUCUUCUAAAGCUAAAUACCGGCCAGAGACCGAUAGCGCACAAGUAGAGUGAUCGAAAGAUGAAAAGCACUUUGAAAAGAGGGUUAAAUAGCACGUGAAAUUGUUGAAAGGGAAGCGUUUGCGACCAGACUUUUUCCAGGCGGAUCAUCCGGUGUUCUCACCGGUGCACUUCGCCUGGUUUAGGCCAGCAUCGGUUCUCCUAGGGGGAUAAAGGCAGGGGGAAAGUAGCUCCUUCGGGAGUGUUAUAGCCCCCUGCGUAAUACCCCUCGGGGGACCGAGGACCGCGCUUCGGCAAGGAAGUUGCUGGCGUAAUGGUCGUCAACUGACCCGUCUUGAAACACGGACCAAGGAGUCGAACAUUUGUGCGAGUGUUUGGGUGUUAAACCCUCACGCGUAAUGAAAGUGCGCGUAAUGAAAGUGAACGG